Small nuclear RNA from Kogia breviceps (pygmy sperm whale), 107 nucleotides. NCBI's taxonomy places the organism in Eukaryota, Metazoa, Chordata, Mammalia, Artiodactyla, Physeteridae. The record is from RefSeq and is a predicted model, not a curated record.
GUGCUUGCUUCAGCAGCAUAUGUACUAAAAUUGGAAUAAUACCGAGAAGAUUAGCAUGGCCUCUGUUCAAGGAUGACGUGCAAAUUCGUGAAGUGUUCCAUAUUUGG